This 1419-nucleotide ribosomal RNA is filed under the name Streptococcus thermophilus. Its description in RNAcentral is "bacterial SSU rRNA". It matches the Rfam family "Bacterial small subunit ribosomal RNA". The record is from RNAcentral. Lineage: Bacteria; Bacillati; Bacillota; Bacilli; Lactobacillales; Streptococcaceae.
ACAUGCAAGUAGAACGCUGAAGAGAGGAGCUUGCUCUUCUUGGAUGAGUUGCGAACGGGUGAGUAACGCGUAGGUAACCUGCCUUGUAGCGGGGGAUAACUAUUGGAAACGAUAGCUAAUACCGCAUAACAAUGGAUGACACAUGUCAUUUAUUUGAAAGGGGCAAUUGCUCCACUACAAGAUGGACCUGCGUUGUAUUAGCUAGUAGGUGAGGUAAUGGCUCACCUAGGCGACGAUACAUAGCCGACCUGAGAGGGUGAUCGGCCACACUGGGACUGAGACACGGCCCAGACUCCUACGGGAGGCAGCAGUAGGGAAUCUUCGGCAAUGGGGGCAACCCUGACCGAGCAACGCCGCGUGAGUGAAGAAGGUUUUCGGAUCGUAAAGCUCUGUUGUAAGUCAAGAACGGGUGUGAGAGUGGAAAGUUCACACUGUGACGGUAGCUUACCAGAAAGGGACGGCUAACUACGUGCCAGCAGCCGCGGUAAUACGUAGGUCCCGAGCGUUGUCCGGAUUUAUUGGGCGUAAAGCGAGCGCAGGCGGUUUGAUAAGUCUGAAGUUAAAGGCUGUGGCUCAACCAUAGUUCGCUUUGGAAACUGUCAAACUUGAGUGCAGAAGGGGAGAGUGGAAUUCCAUGUGUAGCGGUGAAAUGCGUAGAUAUAUGGAGGAACACCGGUGGCGAAAGCGGCUCUCUGGUCUGUAACUGACGCUGAGGCUCGAAAGCGUGGGGAGCGAACAGGAUUAGAUACCCUGGUAGUCCACGCCGUAAACGAUGAGUGCUAGGUGUUGGAUCCUUUCCGGGAUUCAGUGCCGCAGCUAACGCAUUAAGCACUCCGCCUGGGGAGUACGACCGCAAGGUUGAAACUCAAAGGAAUUGACGGGGGCCCGCACAAGCGGUGGAGCAUGUGGUUUAAUUCGAAGCAACGCGAAGAACCUUACCAGGUCUUGACAUCCCGAUGCUAUUUCUAGAGAUAGAAAGUUACUUCGGUACAUCGGUGACAGGUGGUGCAUGGUUGUCGUCAGCUCGUGUCGUGAGAUGUUGGGUUAAGUCCCGCAACGAGCGCAACCCCUAUUGUUAGUUGCCAUCAUUCAGUUGGGCACUCUAGCGAGACUGCCGGUAAUAAACCGGAGGAAGGUGGGGAUGACGUCAAAUCAUCAUGCCCCUUAUGACCUGGGCUACACACGUGCUACAAUGGUUGGUACAACGAGUUGCGAGUCGGUGACGGCGAGCUAAUCUCUUAAAGCCAAUCUCAGUUCGGAUUGUAGGCUGCAACUCGCCUACAUGAAGUCGGAAUCGCUAGUAAUCGCGGAUCAGCACGCCGCGGUGAAUACGUUCCCGGGCCUUGUACACACCGCCCGUCACACCACGAGAGUUUGUAACACCCGAAGUCGGUGAGGUAACCUUUUGGAGCCAGCCGC